AGUGAACGCUGGCGGUAGGCCUAACACAUGCAAGUCGAACGGCAGCACAGUAAGAGCUUGCUCUUACGGGUGGCGAGUGGCGGACGGGUGAGGAAUACAUCGGAAUCUACUUUUUCGUGGGGGAUAACGUAAGGAAACUUACGCUAAUACCGCAUACGACCUACGGGUGAAAGCAGGGGAUCUUCGGACCUUGCGCGAUUGAAUGAGCCGAUGUCGGAUUAGCUAGUUGGCGGGGUAAAGGCCCACCAAGGCGACGAUCCGUAGCUGGUCUGAGAGGAUGAUCAGUCACACUGGAACUGAGACACGGUCCAGACUCCUACGGGAGGCAGCAGUGGGGAAUAUUGGACAAUGGGCGCAAGCCUGAUCCAGCCAUACCGCGUGGGUGAAGAAGGCCUUCGGGUUGUAAAGCCCUUUUGUUGGGAAAGAAAAGCAGCAGGUUAAUACCCCGCUGUUCUGACGGUACCCAAAGAAUAAGCACCGGCUAACUUCGUG
RNAcentral lists this ribosomal RNA (492 nucleotides) under uncultured bacterium. Its description in RNAcentral is "partial 16S ribosomal RNA". It matches the Rfam family "Bacterial small subunit ribosomal RNA", at positions 29 to 507 of the family's 1533-position model. The record is from RNAcentral.